GUACGUGGCCCUGAUCCUCACAUCCUCCACCUGCACCGUCAAACCCUGACAGACAGAACAGAGGAAAUACUUUGUUGUUGUUUUCCAGGAGAAAAACUGGCUUCAGCCUCCUGAUAGGCAUCAACCUUUUCUCCCCUCGACCACUCUCCUCCUCAUAAGCCUCUUGCAUACAUCACGCUGAAGACAGCUCCAGCUUUAGACUCGGGUUUCCUUUUGUUGUUCAGCAGAGAACGUGAGCAGCUGAAAUCCUUGAAGAAAACUUCAUCUCCCUUCCGAAAGAUGAACUGAACGAGACUCGUCAUCUGUUUAUGAUCCCGUGUGGGGUUCUGCAAGCAGCAGGGUGAAAUUCAUUUAUCUGAAAAUUGCUUGUUUACUUCACCUGCGUUGGUUUGUGAACAAUAAAAAGAGGUACAAAUAAAAGCUCACGUGAGAAA
This is a long non-coding RNA of Stegastes partitus (bicolor damselfish), 434 nucleotides long. RefSeq lists it as uncharacterized. The record is from RefSeq and is a predicted model, not a curated record. The transcript is spliced from 3 exons. NCBI's taxonomy places the organism in Eukaryota, Metazoa, Chordata, Actinopteri, Pomacentridae.